CAGGGCGUGGACACUGGCAUAUUCUUGUAUACUGAGACUGUAACAGAGAACACGCAUGGGGGAGGGUGAGAUAAAUGUGCAGAGGGAUAAAAAGACAUGGCAGAAAAAGUAGAGCAGAUAAAAGUAUAGAGGGGAUAGACGAGUAAAAAAAGGGGAAAGAAGAGAGAGAAACUUUGGUGGAUUAUGGGAGGGAGCUCCAGGGCGAACGUUCUCCUGCGCAUCUUAUAUCCAGAUAUAGAACAACGUAAUUACGCUGUAAUUAAUAAGGUUUUCAUAUUGCCAAUCCUCUGUGAAUAGAAUAUAUACCGGUAAUAGAACAUGCCAUUUUCAGUGCAGGUAUUGGACUACGGAGCAGUGACAGGUGAUGUGCAAUCCGAUAUGUUGAUGAGUGGACCUGCUCUUUGGGUAUAAACUACAUAUCCCACAAACAUCUGUCCUGCAGAGAUUUAUUGGAUAGGAGUCUCUUCCUGAUGAGUGAGGAGUCUGCACCUUGUGAUUAC
Pelobates cultripes (western spadefoot toad) is the source of this 500-nucleotide non-coding RNA. The record is from the annotation of a GenBank genome assembly. NCBI's taxonomy places the organism in Eukaryota, Metazoa, Chordata, Amphibia, Anura, Pelobatidae.